AAGGCCCCACCCCCACAGACUUAAGUGAAGACCCGCAUUCCUACUUUCUAUCCCAAAUGUUGCGUUUUCUAAGACCACUCUGGCCCGCCAUACCUCCAUCCUGGGCCUAUAAAAAUCCGAGACCCUAGCAAGACAGAAACGGAAGCUGCUGGACGACGAGAUGAAAAUAUCGGCCAAAGAAGACAAGCCACCGGACAUUGAGAGGACAUCGAGGGGAGCCCCCGCUUGUCGCACGCCCUGCCACAGGGAUGAGGGAACCUCUCCAGUUUCAAUAUUAUCCAACCACGUUGAUCACUUAAGAAAAAGAAGCCUUGUGCUAUUAAAGAAGAAUAAGGAGGAGGAAGAGGAGGAGACGGAAGAGAGGAGAAGAGAGGAGCAGGGGAAAAGCAUACGGACAGAAGAACACACAAAAGACUGAGAGUUGAUUCUGAUGGCAUUUUCUUUCUUAGGUAGUUUUUUCUAAGCUCCAGACUCAUUAUCAUCCUUGUUUUCUACAAGCCACACUAAUAUCAUCUUAAUAAAUUAUUUUAUUUUUUGCUGAAAAACAUCUUGAGUCCUUUUCUGUAACUUGUGAUGAAUUAAUUCCUAAAUAACGUAGGUCACAUGUGCUAAUAACUAUUGUUGUAUUUGUUGUGCACUUCAGGCAGUUUACAUAAAUGAUGGAAUAUUAGGUCUGAACAUUUAUUCAAGCCAACCAUCUGGGACAAUCAGUACCCUAGUCAGACAUACCCACUUCAGGAGUGUUCAUCUAUUAAUGAAUCACAAAGGCCACUCUUGGGGAGAUAACUGCAAGUCUUUCAGCUCUUGCUAAAAUCCAAAGGAAAAUAAAAGAGAAUUUCAAUACGUGUGGCUCUAAUGUUCGGGAUGAAAAUGUGAACCUAUCUUUCACUAUAUAAUGUAUUUUCCCAAGUACUUAUUACCCCUUGAGGUAGUUAUUAACACUGCUAAGAAAUAUUUACGACUUCUUGUGGAUAUAGCAGCAAGUUCCAGCUAAAGAAUUAUGAGUAAAAGUGACAUGCUUCACGGCCUAUCAUCUCCCCCAACUUUGCCAUGGACACCAACAAUGCUUGGGAUGAUUGCUGACCUAUCAACAUAAAUCCUUAGGAGAAGAUGAUGGGCUGAGUUGACAGCUAAACUCAGUAUUAGGUAAUUGAAUGUUUCAUUUGAUUGUAAAAAUUUAGGGUGUAUUUUUAAUGACGAAUAAGUCACUAAAUUCUACCAUAUUUUUCCAUAGUUUGAUAAGACUAUCAGAGUUUUUAUCUUAAGAUGACUAUUCACAGCACAGAUGUACAUAUCAGUUUAUCCCUGUAUGAUGCUUUACAAUCAUUUCACUGCCAACAUUCAGCCAAUGUCUCUAUUUGUGUUUUGAAAAAACUUCACCUGUGAUUAAUGUGUACAACUGAUUUUUGUUUAUGUGUUGUUAACAUUUGAGAAGUUAUCCAUCUAUGAAAGUAAUAGCACAUUGAAAAGAUUGGUCCUCUGAGUUUCAAAUAGCAAGGGGAAAAUAAAUGGAGCUGUGGGAAAUUUCAGGAAGGCUAAAUAAACCAAAUAAAGUUCAACUUCCAUCUGAGUCUACUAGUCAAUAUUUUAAGCCAUCUUCUGGAUGGAAAGGAAAAGUGGAAAUUUACACUAUUGUACAAUUGUUAUUUUGUUAAAUACUAUCUGUACUAAUAGACUAAAGGUCUCCUGUUAGGGGUGAUGUGAUAUGUUAUUAAAUAUAAGGGAAUUAGAAUGAAUUAUAUUAAAUCUACUGUGAGAAUAUGCCUUGUGACUUUUCAGAUAAAGUCCAAAAAUAAUUUAAAAUUUGGGAUAAAGAAGAGGACGCUUAUCAUUGGCUUUUACUAGUUGCUUGUUAACACAUGCACAAAAUCAUAUUUACUCAUUUU
This 1886-nucleotide long non-coding RNA is filed under the name Homo sapiens (human). Its description in RNAcentral is "HSALNT0393638". Lineage: Eukaryota; Metazoa; Chordata; Mammalia; Primates; Hominidae. The record is from RNAcentral.